GUGCCAGCAGCCGCGGUAAUACAGGGGGUGCAAACGUUGCUCGGAAUUAUUGGGCGUAAAGCGCGCGUAGGCGGCUACCUAAGUCGGAUGUGAAAGCCCCUGGCUUAACUGGGGAAGUGCACCCGAAACUGGGUAGCUAGAGUGCAAAAGAGGGUCGCGGAAUUCCCGGUGUAGAGGUGAAAUUCGUAGAUAUCGGGAGGAACACCGGUGGCGAAGGCGGCGACCUGGGUUGACACUGACGCUGAGGCGCGAAAGCGUGGGGAGCAAACAGGAUUAGAAACCCUGGUAGUCC
This 292-nucleotide ribosomal RNA is filed under the name uncultured bacterium. RNAcentral describes it as "partial 16S ribosomal RNA". It matches the Rfam family "Bacterial small subunit ribosomal RNA", at positions 505 to 796 of the family's 1533-position model. The record is from RNAcentral.